AUUAAAGCCACGAGAUAUAGGUACAAAAGGAGUUACUGACAUUUAGAAGACUUAUUCACCUAUCCUCUCUUAUGAAUGGAUAAGAAAAUACAGUUUUCAUAGCUCUCAUGUCUCUAAGAAAUCUGUAUCAGAGUAUGGUAAUGAGGAAUUUGUACAGCUAUGGACCCCUGCUGCUGGAGAUGUUACCUGAAAAGGACGACAGCCAAAGUGUCAAUGGUGAAUUAUAUAGUUUGUCACACUCUGAGCACUCUUUCAUUUUCAUGAUGACUCCAAAGAAAGUCUUAACAUAAAAAGGAUGUUGAUUAUUUUCCAAUUAA
This is an RNA transcript of Arabidopsis thaliana (thale cress), 317 nucleotides long. RefSeq lists it as uncharacterized. The record is from RefSeq. The transcript has 3 exons. Lineage: Eukaryota; Viridiplantae; Streptophyta; Magnoliopsida; Brassicales; Brassicaceae.